RNAcentral lists this long non-coding RNA (203 nucleotides) under Salvia miltiorrhiza (redroot sage). RNAcentral's name for it is "long non-coding RNA (SMIL_LNC010592)". Lineage: Eukaryota; Viridiplantae; Streptophyta; Magnoliopsida; Lamiales; Lamiaceae. The record is from RNAcentral.
AAGGCUGUUGGAAUUGUCAGUUGGCUGUGUCUUCCCUAUGUCUCAUAUUUAUCUUUAUAUGCUUUGACUCUAUAAGAAUUUGAACUCCCUGCUAUAUGUCUUCACACAUAUAGUAACGCAUAUCGCUGCACAACUCUGAUGAAACUUUAUUUAAUUUGCUUAUGCCUGUAAUAUCCCAUAAGGGAAAUACUUCUUAAGCCCUU